GCAUCUGUAGUGUAGGGGUUAUCAUCCCAGCCUUCCAUUGCCAUGCAACAGAUAGCUGGGGACUCGAGUUCGAGUCUCGACAGAUGCA
This 88-nucleotide transfer RNA is filed under the name Colletotrichum cereale. RNAcentral describes it as "tRNA-Gly". It matches the Rfam family "tRNA". Rfam says of the family: Transfer RNA (tRNA) molecules are approximately 80 nucleotides in length. Their secondary structure includes four short double-helical elements and three loops (D, anti-codon, and T loops). Lineage: Eukaryota; Fungi; Ascomycota; Sordariomycetes; Glomerellales; Glomerellaceae. The record is from RNAcentral.